GAUGAACGCUGGCGGCGUGCUUAACACAUGCAAGUCGAACGGAAAGGCCCAAGCUUGCUUGGGUACUCGAGUGGCGAACGGGUGAGUAACACGUGGGUGAUCUGCCCUGCACUUCGGGAUAAGCCUGGGAAACUGGGUCUAAUACCGGAUAGGACGAUGGCUUGGAUGCCAUUGUGGAAAGUUUUUUCGGUGUGGGAUGAGCUCGCGGCCUAUCAGCUUGUUGGUGGGGUAAUGGCCUACCAAGGCGUCGACGGGUAGCCGGCCUGAGAGGGUGUACGGCGACAUUGGGACUGAGAUACGGCCCAGACUCCUACGGGAGGCAGCAGUGGGGAAUAUUGCACAAUGGGCGCAAGCCUGAUGCAGCGACGCCGCGUGGGGGAUGACGGCCUUCGGGUUGUAAACACCUUUCGCUAGGGACGAAGCGUUUUUGUGACGGUACCUGGAGAAGAAGCACCGGCUAACUACGUG
RNAcentral lists this ribosomal RNA (468 nucleotides) under uncultured bacterium. RNAcentral describes it as "partial 16S ribosomal RNA". It matches the Rfam family "Bacterial small subunit ribosomal RNA", at positions 28 to 507 of the family's 1533-position model. The record is from RNAcentral.